CUUUGGCCGGGCCGUGGGAGCGGGGACGCACCCACCCCUGGCACGGCUCCAGCCACCGGCGAGGUCCCGGCCGGCCCCGUGCCCACGCGGUCGGUGCCCGGCGCUGCACGUGGCGGGCUCUGCCCCCGGCCCCGCACGGGACAGCCGCUGGCAGCCGGACCUCGGCCACGGGACACCGGGGCCGUCCCGGCCGGGGCCGGGGGCCAGGCGGUGCCGUUGGCGCUGAGGAAGGCGGCGCUGGCGCGGAGCGAGGAAGGGGGGUGCCGGGUGCUGGCUCCAGCCCCCGGAUCUCCCGGUGCUCCAACGGCUGCGGGUGGCUGCGGGCCAGGAGCCGUGGCUGGAGCAAAAUAUUUACCCGCGUGGCACGGUGCCACGGAGCAGCCUCCCGCCCGCCCAGCCCCGUACGGCCCCGUACGGCCCCGUGCGCCCGCACCAAGGUGCAAACAGCCCCCUGCGUCCUCGUGGGCACGGGCUGUGGGGGCCGAGCCCCCGCGUGGGCACAGCCCAGGGAAGAAUGGUGCGGAGAGGGAUGGGGGGGGGGUGAAGCUGGGCUCCCUCGGCUGCCCCGUGCCAGGUGCCAGGCCCCGAGCAUCGUCCCCGUCCCCAUCCCCGUGUGGGACCCGCGGUUGUUAUGGCAACAGGUCCCCGGGCUCCUUCCCGCUGCCGUUCCCGCUCCUCCCGCACGUGAAGGCGCAGAGCGAGGGGGUGGCCGGGUCCCCUCCCCGCGCUGCGGCAGCGCGAGCACCCACGGGCCCCGGGAACGGCCCCCGGGAACGGCCCCCGCCUGCGCCCACGCGGCCCCGCGGCACGGCCGGGCCGGGUGCAGGGGUGCGCCGGUGGUCGUGGCACCGGCACCGUGCCGGGGAGGGGACGCGGUGCCCCGGCCCCUGCCCCGACACCGUGCCACGACCUGGCGAUGGACGUGGCCCCGCUCUUGUGGGGUCGGCCUCGGCCAGGCCCUGCAGGCACCCAGGCCGCUGCCGUGCUGUGCCGUGCCAUGCCGUGCCGUGCCAUGCUGCGGGGGCUGCAGCUCCUCACGGCAGCGAAUAUUCCUGCAGAGAAAGUAAAAAUAGCAGCAGCAGGGCUCGGGGAAGCGACGCUCGGCCCCCAACCGUGGAGGAGCGGGAGCCUUCGCCACCGGCACGGGGACGACGGGGACUUGGGGACGGGGCGGAAGGGCGGACGGGGCGCCGUGGGGGAACGGGGUGCUGCGGGGACACCGUGGGAACGGGGAGGUGGAGGGUUGGGGUACGGGGGGACAGCGUCCUGGGGACUGGACGCCAUGGGGAUGGCGCGUCCUGGGGACGGGGGACCAAGGGGACAGGGGACCAAGGGGACGGAGCACCCUGGGGACGGGGCGCCACGGGGAUGGAGCACCCUGGGGCCAGGUCCCCGUGGGGAUGGGGCGUCGCGGGGCCAGGGCAGGCCAGGCACGGGGCGCCGGGGGGCCGGGAGGUUGCUGGGACUGGGACCGAAAGGUGA
Molecule: long non-coding RNA, 1482 nt
Filed under: Anser cygnoides (Swan goose)
Lineage: Eukaryota; Metazoa; Chordata; Aves; Anseriformes; Anatidae
Description: lncRNA (ENSACDG00005013316.1)
Source: RNAcentral